Molecule: ribosomal RNA, 429 nt
Filed under: Chloroflexota bacterium
Lineage: Bacteria; Bacillati; Chloroflexota
Description: Chloroflexi bacterium partial 16S ribosomal RNA
Rfam family: Bacterial small subunit ribosomal RNA
Source: RNAcentral
UGGGGAAUAUUGCACAAUGGGCGCAAGCCUGAUGCAGCCAUGCCGCGUGUAUGAAGAAGGCCUUCGGGUUGUAAAGUACUUUCAGUCGGGAGGAAGGUGUCAAGGUUAAUAACCUUGGCAAUUGACGUUACCGACAGAAGAAGCACCGGCUAACUCCGUGCCAGCAGCCGCGGUAAUACGUAGGGCGCGAGCGUUGUCCGGAAUUAUUGGGCGUAAAGGGCUUGUAGGCGGCUUGUUGCGCCUGCUGUGAAAACGCGGGGCUUAACUUCGCGCGUGCAGUGGGUACGGGCAGGCUUGAGUGUGGUAGGGGUGACUGGAAUUCCAGGUGUAGCGGUGGAAUGCGCAGAUAUCUGGAGGAACACCGAUGGCGAAGGCAGGUCACUGGGCCAUUACUGACGCUGAGGAGCGAAAGCAUGGGUAGCGAACAGG